CCUACGUGCGGCAGCAGUGGGGAAUAUUGCACAAUGGGGGAAACCCUGAUGCAGCGACGCCGCGUGAGUGAAGAAGUAUUUCGGUAUGUAAAGCUCUAUCAGCAGGGAAGAAGAAAGACGGUACCUGACUAAGAAGCCCCGGCUAACUACGUGCCAGCAGCCGCGGUAAUACGUAGGGGGCAAGCGUUAUCCGGAUUUACUGGGUGUAAAGGGAGCGUAGACGGCUGUGCAAGUCUGAAGUGAAAGCCCAGGGCUCAACCCUGGGACUGCUUUGGAAACUGUACGGCUGGAGUGCAGGAGAGGUAAGUGGAAUUCCUAGUGUAGCGGUGAAAUGCGUAGAUAUUAGGAGGAACACCAGUGGCGAAGGCGGCUUACUGGACUGUAACUGACGUUGAGGCUCGAAAGCGUGGGGAGCAAACAGGAUUAGAUACCCCUGUAGUC
RNAcentral lists this ribosomal RNA (441 nucleotides) under uncultured bacterium. Its description in RNAcentral is "partial 16S ribosomal RNA". It matches the Rfam family "Bacterial small subunit ribosomal RNA", at positions 338 to 795 of the family's 1533-position model. The record is from RNAcentral.